RNAcentral lists this ribosomal RNA (439 nucleotides) under uncultured bacterium. RNAcentral's name for it is "partial 16S ribosomal RNA". It matches the Rfam family "Bacterial small subunit ribosomal RNA", at positions 339 to 795 of the family's 1533-position model. The record is from RNAcentral.
CUACGGGUGGCUGCAGUGGGGAAUAUUGCACAAUGGAGGAAACUCUGAUGCAGCAACGCCGCGUGGAGGAUGACACUUUUCGGAGCGUAAACUCCUUUUAUAUAGGAAGAAGAUGACGGUACUAUAUGAAUAAGCGCCGGCUAACUCCGUGCCAGCAGCCGCGGUAAUACGGAGGGCGCAAGCGUUACUCGGAAUCACUGGGCGUAAAGAGCGUGUAGGCGGAUUAAAAAGUCAGAAGUGAAAUCCUAUAGCUUAACUAUAGAACUGCUUCUGAAACUCUUAAUCUAGAAUAUGGGAGAGGUAGAUGGAAUUUCUGGUGUAGGGGUAAAAUCCGUAGAGAUCAGGAGGAAUACCGAGUGCGAAGGCGAUCUACUGGAACAUUAUUGACGCUGAGACGCGGAAGCGUGGGGAGCAAACAGGAUUAGAUACCCCGGUAGUC